Molecule: long non-coding RNA, 1000 nt
Filed under: Homo sapiens (human)
Lineage: Eukaryota; Metazoa; Chordata; Mammalia; Primates; Hominidae
Description: MIR124-2 host gene
Source: RNAcentral
AAAGGCAGUGAGCGUCUUUCCUUGGGCUGCGUGUGCCGAGCGUAGACAAUGAAAAUCUUCAUCCCCCUCCCCCAUUCUACUAGGCUACAAGAUUCUUGUUUUCGUUCCUUCUCACCGGUGGAAGAUGUGUAAAAUCAAAGAUGUAGAGGUGUGUAGUGAUUUUUUUAAAAGCCAACUAACCACCGCACGGACUGCGACGCGGAUUACCCGAGCGCACGCCGGCUGGGCGCAUUCUGGGGUCUCUGCGCAAGACCAGCUCUCAGCUCUCUCUCCUUUCCUCGGACUCUGGAGCGGGAGCGGGCCUUUCCCUCGGGUCGACCACGCCGUAGGGGACGCCGUGAAAAGAGCCGUCGCGCCCGCUGCCUCCUGCCCGCUGCGCAGAGGGCUCCGCCCGUAGAGGUCAACUUCCCUCACCCUUUUCUCUCUCCUGCUUGCCCUCCCUCCGCCCGGCCCAGGCGCUUCCAGCCCCAGACUGUGGCCACUGGCUGAGGAGUGCGAGUCGGCUGCGCUGCCCUGAGCCUAAUCCCUCUUCCGGGCCCAGACCCGAGGUCCGCGCUCCUGGGCAGUGGGGAAGCUUUAGUGAGCAGGCUUUUCUCUCCGCAGCAAACUUGUAGCCAGACCAGAUGGGCCGCCCAGCUCUCUCGGGACUAGGCAGGUGCGGAUGAGUUAAUUUUUCCGCAUUACAAAGAAAGAUGACCCAGCCCGCCCUUGGACUCUCUUUUCCCAAAAUCUCCCAACCAAACCCGCGGUAACGUUAUCAAAGGACACAGAGCCCAGGCAUAUCUGUGUGUUUAUCUUACAGGCACACACGCAUGGUUUUCUCUUUUAUAUGCUAGAUUUCAUCCCUGACAGCAGAAAAUGAUUGGCAAUGGUUAUGACGGAGAACAUGCAAUAGCGUGGUCCUUAAAAACCUGCCAUUCCUUACAAGUGCCUUAGAAAGGAUUCAGGGCGAACCAACUGGGUUAAUUGCAUUCAGUAAAAUAACACGAUUACAAAAUUA